This is a non-coding RNA of Chelonoidis abingdonii (Abingdon island giant tortoise), 129 nucleotides long. The record is from RefSeq and is a predicted model, not a curated record. NCBI's taxonomy places the organism in Eukaryota, Metazoa, Chordata, Testudines, Testudinidae.
CCACUGUGCUGGGCAGAGAAGAGAGCGCCCCCUCCUGAGUCAAGCACAUCACUGUGCUCCCAGCCACGGUGCUGGGCUGAGAGAGCAGAGCGCCCCCCACUGAAUCCCUAUAAGCCCAGCCGAUGCCCU